GAGUUCGGUGAACUCAAGAACCAAGUGUCAUUGUCUUCUGUGAACAUGCUUCCUGACACCUGCCCAGUUCUGCUGCUCCUCUUGAUGCUCGGAAAGAUCAAUGGAGAUUCAGUGACCCAGACUUCUGGCCUGGUUACUGUCAAAGAGGGGUUGCCUGUGAUUAUGAACUGCACCUAUCAGACUACUUUCCCAAAUAUUUUCCUUUACUGGUAUGUGCAACAUCUCAACAAAGCCCCUCAGCUGCUCCUGAGAAGCACCACAGACAACAAGAGGACAGAGCAGCAAGGGUUCCACGCCACUCUCCAUAAGAGCAGCAGCUCCUUCCACCUGGAGAAGUCCUCAGUGCAGCUGUCAGACUCUGCCCUGUACUACUGUGCUCUGAGUGACACAGUGAGGGAGAUGCAGGGGAAGCUGCACACAAACCAAGGUGCAGGAGGCUGAGGGGAGGGGCCCUGUGA
Molecule: non-coding RNA, 458 nt
Organism: Mesocricetus auratus (golden hamster)
Lineage: Eukaryota; Metazoa; Chordata; Mammalia; Rodentia; Cricetidae
Source: the annotation of a RefSeq genome assembly